This 580-nucleotide long non-coding RNA is filed under the name Androctonus crassicauda. The record is from RNAcentral. Lineage: Eukaryota; Metazoa; Arthropoda; Arachnida; Scorpiones; Buthidae.
UAAAAAUAAACUAAAAUUGCAGUAUAGUAAAAUUAAACAUAAAAUCUAGGUUAUAUAUAUAUUGUAUAUAGAAAAUUAAAGAUUUAAUUAAAAGUUCAUUAAAAAUAAAAAUUGUAAAAAAAUGGUUUUUUAUUGUGAAAGAGUGUAUGAUAUAAGAGAAUAAAGAAUAAAAACUUAGAUAUUAUGUCUAGCACACCAGUGCCAUAGAUGGCAAGAUCCUCUGGGUCAUUAUCAUUAAGUAGAUUUACUGCUGCUCUGUCUUUCCAUCUCUAUGUUGUUCAUAAUAUGUUAUGGUAAAGUAUUGUAUGUAUGAUCCAUCACUACGUAAUGUAUUUAAAAGAGCUGCUAAAGAUGCACAUUGUAAUCUGAUUUGUAGAAGAAAAUCUAUUAUUUUUUUGGUGUUUAAAAAUGCUAUUAGCUCAAACAAGAUCUGGUAUCUACUCCAUUUCAGUCUACAACACAGACUGUACAUGAUUAGUUUGCCAACAAUAAUACAUAGGCAAAACUUAAUCAUGUACAGUCGGUUCUAAAAUGUAUUGCAGGUAGCAAGAAGCAGUUUGGUAUUUGUACAAAGCACGGA